AGAGAUGCGCAGUGCUGCCCCUUUCUAUGGGCAGGGCCGAAGGUCCGCGUGUAAAAGUACCCAGUCCCUGGUAACCUGACACUUCCCUUUUAAAAGCCACCUUUUGUCUAUCUCUGGCCUGCCACGAUUCUUCCUGUGCUCCAUAGGAGGACCCAUUGGACCCCCGGGCUGGCUGCAGGGCCCACACCUGGGUUAGACCUCGCACAGGGACGCUGCUGCCACUGUAAUAAAGCGUGCCUACACGCUUCUGAAACUGGUGUAGGAACAACCUCAGUUCUGUGAAAGGCGGACGCAGCAGGACAGAAUCUCCGUGGACAUCUGUCUGGAGGAGCAAUUUUACUGCGACAUUUUAAAGAAACAAAUUUAAUUGAUUUCCAAGACUGGAGUGGGUUCAUAUUUAUCAUGCUGGAAGGAGUGUAGAAAAAUAGAGGAAUGAAGAAGGAAAACAACGCAAGUCAUUCUAUGUACUGUGGAAACAAACUGACAGUGGGUUUAGAAAAAAACAACAGAGGAAGAAGGUCUGAGUAGUCCCAGGUAAUUGGGAAACCGAGAAGGGAAGACCACUCGGGUGAGACCAGGGAGAUCGAAGCCACAGUAAAUCACGAUCACAUCCCUCUGCUGGACCUGAACGGUACUGCCGCCUGCAAGAGCCAUCUGGUCGACCUUAGACAUGACAAGGCGAGAACCAUCUGGUCAACCUUAGACAUGGCACUCUUGUGGCUAAGUCCAACUCUAGUUGCUGAAAUACGUCUCAAAAAAACAAAAACAAUCCAACAGUAAAUGUUUUACAAAAACAAAAAAAUAAACAAUAUUAAAGAACAAUGUAUAAAUAAGUGGGAGUGAACCAAGGUAAAAGGUAAUUAAUAUCACCAUUAAGAUCUCCUCUCUUUCUCUUUUUCUCUCCAUUUGUGAUACCCAGGCUGGAGUGUGACAAAGGAAAAUCUAAAAGGUCAACUUCAUUUACAGGAAAGAGCAUAGGAAAACAGACAAAAGAACAAAGAAGAAAAACAAUAGCAAGUCACUCUAAGUACUGUGGAAAUAAACUAAAUGUCAGGUUAGGAAUAGAACAGUGAAAGAAGGUCCCAGUAGUCCCAAGGACUCGGGAGGCUGAGACACGAAGACUGCCCAGGUGAGACUACAGAGACUGAAGUUGCAGUGAAUCAUCACAUCCUGCUACUGGACUUGAACAGUACUGCUGCUGAUGAGAGCCAUCUGGGCGACCUUCGACAUGGCAAGGUGCGAGCCAUCUGAUCAGCCUUAGACAUGGCAAGGCAAGAGCCAUCUGGUCAACCUUAGAAGUGACAAGGGACAGCCACCUGGUCGACCUUUGACAUGGCAGGAUGACAGCCAUCUGGUCGACCUUAGAGAUGGGAAUGCAAGAGGCUUCAGGUCCACCUUCAACAUGGUAAGGCUAAAGCCAUCUUGUCCAGCUUAGACAUGGCAAGGCAAGAGCCAUAUGGUCCACCUUAGUCAUGGGAAGGCAAGAGCCAUCUUGUUGACCAUAGACAUGGUAAGGUGGGAGCCAUCAAGUCUGCCUCAGACAUAGCAAGGUGAGAACCAUCUGGUCAACCUCAGACAUGGGAAAGUGAGAGCCAUCUGAUCUACUUCAGACAUGGCAAGGCAAGAGGCAUCUUGACCUCAGACAUGGCAAGGAAAGAGCCAUCCGGUCGACUUUAGAGAUGGAAAUGCGAAAAGGGUUUGGGUCCACCUUAAGCAUGGAAAGGCAAGAGGCAUCUGGUCUAGUUUAGGCAUGGCAAGGCAAGAGACAUAUGGUUUACCUUAGUCAUGGGAAGGUGAGAGCCAUCUGGUCGACCAUAGACAUGGCAAGGUGGGAACCAUCAAGUCCACUUCAGACAUGGCAAGGUGAAAGCCAUCUUGGUCAACCUUAGACAUAGGAAGUUGAGAGCCACAUGGUCUACUUAAGGCAUGGCAAGGCAACAAGCAUCUGGUCAACCUCAAACAUGGCAAGGCAAGAGCCAUCUGGUCAACAUUAGAGAUGGUAAUGCAAGAGGCUUCAGAUCCAUCUUAGACAUGGUAAGGCAAGAAGCAUCUCAUCUAGCUUAGACAUGGCAAAUCAAGAGCCAUGUGGUCCACCUUAGUCAUGGGAAGGUGAGAGCCAUCUCGUUGACCAUAGACAGGGCAAGGUGGGAGCCAUCAAGUCCACCUCAGACAUGGCAAGGCGAGAGCCAUCUAGUCUGCCUCAGACAUGGCAAGGUGAGAGCCAUCUGGUUAACUUUAGACAUGGGAAGGAGAGCCAACUGGUUGGCCUCAGACAUGGAAAGGCUAGAGCCAUCCAGUCGACCUCAGAAAUGGGAAAGAGAGAGCCAUCUGGACAACCUUAAACAUGACAAAAUGAGAGCCAUCUGGUAGACUUUAGACAUAGAAUGGCAAGAGCCAUCUGGUCAAUCGUAGAUGUGGCAAGGUGAGAGCCAUCUGAUUGACCUAGACAUGGCAAGGUGAGAGACAUCUGGUCGACUGAAGACAAGGAAAAAUGAAAGCCAUCUGGUUGAGCUUAGACAUGGCAAGGCAAGAGUCAUCUGGCCGACCUUAGACAUGGAAAAAGAAGAGCCAUCUGUUUGACCUUAGACAUGGCAAGGCAAGAUCCAUCUGGUCAACCUUAGACAUGGCAAGGUGAGAGCCAUCUUGUUGAACUCACUCGAAGAGGAGACCCAUCUGGUCAACCUCAGACAUGGCAAGGUGAGAGCCAUCUGAUCGACCUUAGACAUGGCAAGGUGAGAGCCAUCUGGUCGACCUUAGAUAUGGCAAGGUGAGAAUCAUCUGGUCAAUCUUAAACAUGGCAAGGUGAGAUCCAACUUGACCUUAGAUAUGAUGAGGUGAGAACCAACUGUUCAAUCUUAGACAUGGCUAGGCAAGUGCCAUCUGGUCCACCUUAGAUAUGGCAAGGCGAGAGCCAUCUGGUCGACCUUAGACAUGGCAAGGUGAGAGCUGUCUGUUCAUCUUAGACAUGACAAGCUGGCAGCUAAAUGCGAUGCAUGCAGUCGACAUCCAUCUCAAAAUAAAUGAACCAACAGUAAAUAUAUAACAAUAACAAGGAAAUAAUAGUGAACAACCCUAAAGACCAAAUAAUUAAGUAGGAGUGUACAAUAAUAAAAGG
Homo sapiens (human) is the source of this 3115-nucleotide long non-coding RNA. Ensembl annotates it as long intergenic non-protein coding RNA 662. Lineage: Eukaryota; Metazoa; Chordata; Mammalia; Primates; Hominidae. The record is from Ensembl.